This 274-nucleotide ribosomal RNA is filed under the name uncultured bacterium. Its description in RNAcentral is "partial 16S ribosomal RNA". It matches the Rfam family "Bacterial small subunit ribosomal RNA", at positions 523 to 796 of the family's 1533-position model. The record is from RNAcentral.
AUACGGAGGGUGCAAGCGUUGUCCGGAUUUAUUGGGUUUAAAGGGUGUGUAGGCGGUGUAUUAAGUCAGUGGUGAAAGCCUGCGGCUCAACCGUAGAACUGCCAUUGAUACUGACACACUUGAGUAUGGACGAGGUAGGCGGAAUUUAUGGUGUAGCGGUGAAAUGCAUAGAUAACAUAAAGAACACCGAUAGCGAAGGCAGCUUACUAGGCCAUAACUGACGCUGAGGCACGAAAGCGUGGGGAGCGAACAGGAUUAGAAACCCCAGUAGUCC